CCAAUAGCGUAUAUUAAGGUUGCUGCGGUUAAAAAGCUCGUAGUUGAAUUUCGGAAUUGAUGCAUCGGUCGCGCCUUAAGGGGCAUGAACUGGUGUAGCCAAUUUCUCACCUUCUGGUGAAUUGUUGAUGUUCUUAAUGGGUGUCUCAAUGAACUAGAAUUUUUUACUUUGAAAAAAUUAGAGUGUUUAAAGCAGGCAUUAAUUUGCUUGAAUACAUUAGCAUGGAAUAAUGAAAUAGGACAGUGGUUCCGUUUUGUUGGUUUCUAGGAUCACGUAAUGAUUAAUAGGGACAGUUGGGGGCAUUAGUAUUCAAUUGUCAGAGGUGAAAUUCUUGGAUUUAUUGAAGACUAACUAUUGCGAAAGCAUUUGCCAAGGAUGUUUUCAUUAAUCAAGAACGAAAGUUAGGGGAUCAAAGACGAUUAAGUACGUCGUAGUCCUAACCAUAAACUAUACCGACUAGGAAUCAGACGAUGUUAAUUUUUUAAUGACUCGUUUGGUACCUUACG
This 506-nucleotide ribosomal RNA is filed under the name uncultured Glomeromycotina. RNAcentral describes it as "partial small subunit ribosomal RNA". It matches the Rfam family "Eukaryotic small subunit ribosomal RNA", at positions 591 to 1092 of the family's 1831-position model. The record is from RNAcentral. Lineage: Eukaryota; Fungi; Glomeromycota.